RNAcentral lists this ribosomal RNA (454 nucleotides) under uncultured bacterium. RNAcentral describes it as "bacterial SSU rRNA". It matches the Rfam family "Bacterial small subunit ribosomal RNA", at positions 340 to 786 of the family's 1533-position model. The record is from RNAcentral.
UACGGGAGGCAGCAGUGGGGAAUAUUGCACAAUGGGCGAAAGCCUGAUGCAGCUAUGCCGCGUGUAUGAAGAAGGCCUUAGGGUUGUAAAGUACUUUCAUCGGGGAGGAAAAACAAAACUAAUAAUUUUAUUUCUUGACGUUACCCGAAAAAGAAGCACCGGCUAACUCCGUGCCAGCAGCCGCGGUAAUACGGAGGGUGCUAGCGUUAAUCAGAAUUACUGGGCGUAAAGAGCACGUAGGUGGUUUUUUAAGUCAGAUGUGAAAUCCCUGGGCUUAACCUAGGAACUGCAUUUUGAAACUGAAAUACUAGAGUAUCGUAGAGGGAGGUAGAAUUCUAGGUGUAGCGGUGAAAUGCGUAGAUAUCUGGAGGAAUACCUGUGGCGAAAGCGGCCUCCUAAACGAAUACUGACACUGAGGUGCGAAAGCGUGGGGAGCAAACAGGGAUUAGAUACC